CUCACCGGCGCGGCCCGAGGGGCGCCCGCCCGCCACGCCGCCCCUAGCCCCGCCUGGGGCGGGCCUAGGCCGGGCUAUAGGGGCCAGGGCCUUGGGCUGCGCCGGCCGCGGGAGGUGGGUGCUUCUCGGCGGCGAGCUGCGACUCGGAGAGACUCCUGUCCGCAGGUGCAUGGCUUCCGGGCGGGCCUCGGGCAGCGAGCUCCAGCCCCACUGAGAGGCCGCGGACCGCCUGGGGACUUGUGUUUGUGUGUAUUUUAAGCCAACAGCCCAGAAAGGGAAGGCGACUGGCCCCCGGUCUUCGCCAGUGUUUCCCGGCCGGGUUACUGGUGGUCAGGAGGGAAGCCAGGAGGCUGCCGGGCUCCGAGGCCGAUUCCUUGCGAACCAUCUCCGUUAAAGACUCCGCGCCGGGCAGCCCGGGAGUCCGGCGGUACCCGCGCAAACUUUGUCCCAGCGCCUUGGCUCACCGUGAAUGCCCUGCCUUGAAAAUUUGGAGUUUUUUGUUUCCUGAAAGUGGUCUGCUUUUCCGAUUUUAUCUGUGUUUUCCAUUUUUACCUUCUUAUUGUCAAUUUGUUUUCAGGCAUUAUUAAUUCAACAAAUCUUUGUACUGCCCCUUACCACGUGUCGAUGGUUCCGUGGUUUGGUGGAAAUAGAUCGCGCUUUGAAGUCAAGACGGAUCGGCCAUGGAAUUUUGGCUCUGAGAUCCUCUGUGUAACCGUGGAUGAGCUACAAGGCCUGCUGAGCCUCCAUUUGUCUGGUUUUUGUGGUUGUUUUAAUUUAUCUUUUUCCAUUUGAAGUUGUGGGUUUUGCAUAAAAUUGAACUGUUACCAGGCUAAGUCAACUGAAAUUGGAAUCUGGGGUACUGCUUGCUUUGAGGUUACUCUUAUACUGUCCACCAUUUGCUGGCUGUGUGAUCUCUAAACCUCUCUGUGCCCUGACUUUUCUAUCUUUAAAAUGGACGUAACAACAGAGGUUUAAUAAUAAGAGGUUUGGAGGUUAAGUGCUAAAAUGCAUAUAAAAUACCUAGCACAGGACACAGUAAAAAGAUUGUUACCGUAUUUCAUUGAAUCUGGUUUUAAGACACUUCCUGAUUUCAAAGAAACUAAAAGCUCAUCUUGAAGUCCAGGAAGUAGGUUUUGGGUCACUCAGAACUCCCAAGGGACUGUAUUUGGUAGUAACUAGUGAUAAACAAACUGGAGUUUAAAUGAGGACUUUGUCACCAGAGAUAUUUUUAUUGCCUGUAUGGAGCUCCUGCACAAAUUUAUUCCAUUUCUCUUGUAGAAAGAGAUCCAACCUGGCCGUAAAUGGGGUGUGGUGGAGUAGAAAGAAGGGUAUUAAGUAAAGCUCUGUGUCGAUGCCUUUCUGAGCAUUUUACGGUGUUGGCAUAUGUGAUCCUGGGUAUCAGGAGCCUCAAUUUCUUGGGCUGUAAAAAUGGGGAGAACAACGCUGAUCCCAUUGUCUCCUGAUGGGUAAGUGAUGUCUAUAAAUAAAUUGUAUAGAGAUUAAGGCAUUAUCAGUGCUGUAGUCUGAUAAAAUGGUGGAGCAGAUAGGAAAGCCUACAACAGUACUGAACUGCAGGAGGGACUAAGAGUAAAUAUAGAGAUUUCAUUUGCUUGGUUUUGCAGAGGGUUAGCUAACUAAACAGAUAACUUUGUUUUCGACAGUUACUUCAUUUUUUUCAGUCAGGCAAGAGUAAGGAGAGAGUAACUAAACCAUUUUUUUUCCUCUUUAAAUAAGAGUAAGCAGAAAUAUUAUGGUUAUUUGGGGUUUUCAUGACCUUCAUUCACUUAGCGGUCAGGCUGUUCAAUUUAAAACAACCUUUUGCUUGCUGCCCUGCCAUAUGGGAAAUUUCAUUUCCAAAAAAAGGAUUAAUUUCCAGCCUGGGCGAAACCCUAUCUCUACGGAAAAUAUAAAAAUUAGCGGCCAGGAGCAGUGGCUCAUACCUGUAAUCCCAGCACUUUGGGAGGCCGAGGCAGGUGGAUCACGAGGUCAGGAGUUCAAGAUCAGCCUGGCCAAGAUGGUGAAACCCCAUCUCUACUAAAAAUACAAAAAUUAGCCUGAUGUGGUGGCACGCGCCUGUAAUCCCAGCUACUUGGGAGGCUGAGGCAGAGAACUGCUUGAACCUGGGAGCAUUCCAGCCUGGAUGACAGAGUGAGACUCCGUCUCAAAAAAAAAAAAAAAAUUAGCUGGGCGUGGUGGCAUCCGCCUUUGGUCCCAAAUACUCAGGAGGCUGAGGUGGGAGGAUUGCUUGAGCCCAGGAGGUCGAGUCUGCAGUGAGCCGUGAUUGUACCACCACAUCCUAGUCUGAGUGACAGUGUGACACUCUGUCUCAAAAAAGAAAAGAAGAUCAAGAAGGAUUAAUUUAAAUCCUUAUACCAAAUUGUCUACCAAAUGAUUUUUGUUCCACUCCAGAAAUGUUUUCCUCCAGUCCCUUCCUCUCUCUGCACCCUCCUGAGUUCUCCUUUCUUCUGUGGACAACUGUAACUAAUGCGUGUUUUUGCUAGGCUGACCCUUCUUUCAUACUAUGGCCCAAUUAUGUUUUUUCAAAUAAGCUAAUGGAUGUAAGCACUGGUGAAAUCUGAAUAAGGUCUGUAGUCUACUUGAUAGUAUUGUACCAAUGUCAGUUUCCUGGCUUUUGAUAUUUUUCCAUAGCUUUGUAAGAUGUUCCCAUUUGAGAAAGUGUACCUGGGCCCUCUUUGCAACUACCUAUGGGUAAAUGAUUAUUUCAAAGUAAAAAAUUAAAGUAUAGGGACAGAAAUUAGAUCAAUGGUUACUGGCAACUGGAGCUGGGGAAGGGUGGACUGAUCACACUUUUUGAGAUGAUGAGAAUAUUCUCUAACUUGAUUGUGGUAUUUACAUUACUGGAUGACUCUGUGAAUCUGUC
This 2881-nucleotide long non-coding RNA is filed under the name Homo sapiens (human). RNAcentral describes it as "LHRI_LNC481.1". Lineage: Eukaryota; Metazoa; Chordata; Mammalia; Primates; Hominidae. The record is from RNAcentral.